This 2059-nucleotide long non-coding RNA is filed under the name Olea europaea (common olive). Its description in RNAcentral is "long non-coding RNA (OEUR_LNC010691)". The record is from RNAcentral. Lineage: Eukaryota; Viridiplantae; Streptophyta; Magnoliopsida; Lamiales; Oleaceae.
UUGACCAAAAAAUCUUGAAAUUGCAGAUCACUUCCUUCAACUUUCAUUGAGUGCAAUUUGGUCCUCAAAGUUUGACUUUUAUUACAUUUAGGCCCUUCCAUAAUUGCACUUCAAGUCCUUUUCCUUCUCUUUUCGCUCGUUAUACUUCUUUCCGGGGUUUUAGCCUACAAAAGUAACAAUUACACAAUUAUAAAUAGAAAUCUACUCAAUUUUAUCAAUAAUAAAGUCCCAAAAAGUGCUAAAUAAGUGUGUAAAAACACAUUUAUCACACCCCCAAACUUGAGCUCUUGCUCGUCUCGAGCAAGAUUGACUUCUAACAUAAUCAUGCAAAUGUAAAAAUGAUCAACAUAUUAGAUACCUUGCCAUAAAUAUCGUAGAGUUCAAAAUUGUAUAUCAAUUCACAGCCAUACUUCCAAAUAAUGCUAUAAAAAAUAAUUACAGCUUAUCCCAUGUUCAAUCAGUGUGUGUGUGCAUAGUCAUUUUCAAUCAUCAUCUAAACUAAGAAAAGACUAUCAAGACAGUAAAAUUUCUAAAUUAGCACCAACUUGACCCUCAGUGGUCAAAUAUAUUCUUUCCGGCUUGUAAGAUUCACACUCAAAUACAGAUAUUCCACUUCAUUUCCCAAGUGUAAAUCUAAAGGUUGCUCUCAAACACUCUUUUCUUUAUCGAUCAAAAAUACUCAACUAGCAUACAUUCUCAGAUGAAGAUAAAGUAACUGAACAUGUAGAACCUCGCAAGAUAGUAUGAUCACUCACUCUCAAGUGUAUAAGAUUGGGUACUGUUUCGCUCAGAUCAUUCCAAUGAAAAUGUUCUACCAUAAGCUUGCAUAUUUUCUCAAUCGUCACCACUAAGAUCACAUGCAUUACAUAAAUCAUAAAGUCUUUUCAGAGCUGAAAUGUGGCUUAAGUUUAAGGUGUUGAAACAUUUGGAUGAAUGACUACGAAGCCUCAAAUAAAUCAGUGGAGUAAAAGAUAUUCAACUCAGCUCAACAUGGACAGGAUCUGUACACAACCCUAUCUCUCCAAUCAAUAACUUCUUACUUAUCAUCAAUUCAGCACAAUCACCCUUUUUCUUCUUUCAACUCUCAGGAGAACUUAUAAAUUUAAUCACUCAAAAUCAGUCUCCUCCACAUAUUUUCCCUUGUCAAUUUUUUUUUUUAUACACCAACAUAGCACCUCAAAUGAUAUUGAUACCCCCAAACUUCUUUUCUUUCACACCCAACAUUUAAUAAAACCAACAACACUCCACUAGCUUUGAGGGCUGGAUAAAGAUAUUGUUUUCUGGAAAUGAAAGCUUGUAAUGUGGGUAAACCAAAGAAAAGGCAAAUAGGCUCAAAGGGGUUAUCAAAGGAAAGAGUAAUUUCAUGGUAAGCUAUUUGGCUAAAGUGGUAACAAAAAUUGCCUUAAUCAUAUUCAUGUAUACAUGUAUCAAUGUGAUCUUGAAAAGAAGCAACGCAAGUUCUAGAGAAUCAUAAUCAUGGAAUAAUGUCACACCAGAAAGAAAUGAUGAGACUGUAAUAAAUGUCAGUCUAUCGGCUCAAAGUCUCACCAGCUUUUGUGUUCACCCUAUUCAGUUACUACAUCUUCAAUGAAAAUAACAAACUAGCUAAUUCAACAUAUCUCACAAUACAAGGUAAAAUGAAAGAGAAUAAGACAUAAGUUGAUAUACUGUUUCAGGUAACUCACAACCUAAGUUCUUACCAAUUCAAAAAUUUUCCAACAAACAGCUAUUUCCACAUCUAAAUGAUAAUUAAUCAUGACUAUGUUCAAUGUAACUCAAGAUCUCACAUAGAAUAAGCAAUUUUCGAAUCGAAAAUUUUUACACAUAAUAGCAUAUUUGGCACGCAUGCAUAGCUUAUGAAUCAAGAAAAAUUUCAACUUCAUUCAUUUCAAAGCCGGCAAGGCUCACCUAACAUGUCGAUAUAACACACAAAAAAUAUGUACAAACACAAAAAGAAAGCCGGUAAGGCUCUAACAUCUAGCAAAGCAAUAGCCGGCAAGGCUCAUCACCCCCAAACUUAAUUCACACAUUGUCCUCAAUGUGUAAAUAACAAGCUAAA